AUUGAACGCUGGCGGCAUGCUUUACACAUGCAAGUCGAACGGCAGCGCGGGCUUCGGCCUGGCGGCGAGUGGCGAACGGGUGAGUAAUACAUCGGAACGUGCCCAGUAGUGGGGGAUAGCUCGGUGAAAGCCGGAUUAAUACCGCAUACGACCUGAGGGUGAAAGCGGGGGAUCUUCGGACCUCGCGCUAUUGGAGCGGCCGAUGGCAGAUUAGCUAGUUGGUGGGGUAAAGGCCUACCAAGGCGACGAUCUGUAGCUGGUCUGAGAGGACGACCAGCCACACUGGGACUGAGACACGGCCCAGACUCCUACGGGAGGCAGCAGUGGGGAAUUUUGGACAAUGGGCGAAGGCCUGAUCCAGCAAUGCCGCGUGUGUGAUGAAGGCCUUCGGGUUGUAAAGCACUUUUGGCGGGAACGAAAAGGACUGUGCCAAUACCACGGUUCGAUGACGGUACCCGCAGAAUAAGCACCGGCUAACUACGUG
Molecule: ribosomal RNA, 484 nt
Filed under: uncultured bacterium
Lineage: Bacteria
Description: partial 16S ribosomal RNA
Rfam family: Bacterial small subunit ribosomal RNA
Source: RNAcentral